GAUGAACGCUGGCGGCGCGCCUAAUACAUGCAAGUCGAGCGAACGGACGAGAAUCUUGCUUCUCUGCUGUUAGCGGCGGACGGGUGAGUAACACGUGGAUAACCUACCUAUAAGACUGGGAUCACUUCGGGAAACCGGAUCUAAUACCGGAUAAUAUUUUGAACCGCAGGGUUCAACAGUGAAAGACGGUCUUGCUGUCCCUUAUAGAUGGAUCCUCGCUGCAUUAGCUAGUUGGUAAGGUAACGGCUUACCAAGGCGACGAUGCAUAGCCGAUCUGAGAGGGUGAUCAGCCACACUGGAACUGAGACACGGUCCAGACUCCUACGGGAGGCAGCAGUAGGGAAUCUUCGGCAAUGGGCGAAAGCCUGACGGAGCAACGCCGCGUGAGUGAUGAAGGUCUUCGGAUCGUAAAACUCUGUUAUUAGGGAAGAACAGAAGUGUAAGUAUCUGUGCAUAUCUUGACGGUACCUAAUGAGAAAGCAACGGCUAACUACGUG
Molecule: ribosomal RNA, 497 nt
Filed under: uncultured bacterium
Lineage: Bacteria
Description: partial 16S ribosomal RNA
Rfam family: Bacterial small subunit ribosomal RNA
Source: RNAcentral